AUGGGGGGAAGCCCUGUCUCAGCACCGCCCCCCUGGUGGGAUGAAGGCCUUCGGGUUGUAAACUCCUUUCAGUGGGAACGAAACUGACCGUACCCACAUACUAAGCCCCGGCCAACUACGUGCCAGCAGCCGCGGUGAUACGUAGGGGGCGAGCGUUGUCCGGAUUUAUUGGGCGUAAAGAGCUCGUAGGCGGUUUGGUUAGUCGGGUGUGAAACCUCCUGGCUCAACCUGCAGACGCCUCCCUAUACUGCCCUGACUAGAGUCCGGUAGGGGACCAUGGAAUUCCUGGUGUAGCGGUGAAAUGCUUUAAUUUCAUGCGGAUCACCGCUAUCGAAGGCGGUGGUCUGGUCCGGUACUGACGCUGAUGAUCGAAAGCGUGCUGAGCGUACAGGAUUAUAUACCCUGGUAGUCCACGCCAUAAACGCUGGGCAUCUACGUGUGGCGCUCUAUCGCCGAUUUCCGUGCCGCAGCUAACGUCACUAAGUGCCCCG
Molecule: ribosomal RNA, 491 nt
Filed under: bacterium B4D4
Lineage: Bacteria
Description: bacterial SSU rRNA
Rfam family: Bacterial small subunit ribosomal RNA
Source: RNAcentral